This 466-nucleotide ribosomal RNA is filed under the name uncultured bacterium. RNAcentral's name for it is "partial 16S ribosomal RNA". It matches the Rfam family "Bacterial small subunit ribosomal RNA", at positions 339 to 795 of the family's 1533-position model. The record is from RNAcentral.
CUACGGGGGGCUCCAGUGGGGAAUAUUGGACAAUGGGGGAAACCCUGAUCCAGCAAUGCCGCGUGUGUGAAGAAGGCCUGCGGGUUGUAAAGCACUUUCGGUUGGGAGGACUGCUUCUAGCACUAAUAUUGUUGGAAGUUGACGUUACCUUCAGAAGAAGCACCGGCUAACUCCGAUGCCAGCAGCCGCGGUAAUACGGAGGGUGCAAGCGUUAAUCGGAAUUACUGGGCGUAAAGCGCGCGUAGGCGGCUAGAUCAGUCGGGUGUGAAAGCCCCGGGCUUAACCUGGGAACUGCAUCCGAUACUGUCUAGCUUGAGUACAGGAGAGGAGAGUGGAAUUCCACAUGUAGCGGUGAAAUGCGUAGAUAUGUGGAGGAACACCAAUGGCGAAGGCAGCUCUCUGGCCUGAUACUGACGCUGAGGUGCGAAAGCGUGAGGAGCAAACAGGAUUAGAUACCCCAGUAGUC